GAAAAAUAGGCGUUUGUUUUCAAUUUUCCAAGUUUGGCAAACUUUUGAACCCCAUAGAUCUCUCUCUUCCCGUAUACCUCUCUCUUCCCACUCGCUCUUUCUUUCCCGCACGUAGACAUGCAUCUCUCCCUCUCGCUCUUUCUUUCCUGUACGUAGACCUGCAUCUCUCCCUCUUUCUCUCUCUUUCCCGUAGACCUCUCUCUCCUCUUCGCAACCUUCAACCCCCAAAUCUCAAAGCCGACGCGACGUAGGUUCCCAAAAUCAAGGGCAUGUUCAUCGGCUGUGAGGUGGUGGUUAUCUGUCAGUCUCCUGUGUAUAGAUGUCGCAGUUGAUCACUCGUCGUCGGAGUGUGUCCAAUGCAGCUCCUGCAUUAUCAGCAUCUAGUGCUCCAGGUGUGAGUGCUCCAAGCGUGAGUGCUCCAUUGAUUGGGGAGCCUACACCCCUUACGGAGGCUACUCCUACGACGUCCCAGGUGCCCGUAUCAUCAACGUCAUCAGUGUCAGUUCAACCCCUCAGUGCACGGCGGCCUCCCUAGCGCCGCCGCGAGCCGGAGCCUUCUGAUCACACUUCCUUGUCCUCCAGAGUCGAGGAUGGGGCCUCCCAACCAGCUAAAAAAAAACACCAAGGGGCCCAAUCGAAUGUUGAAGGAGCUACAGCUUGUACGUAUGUCUGCCUCCUUGAUCAAGAUUGCGUAUGAUGAGCGACAUUGUGGAGCGGUUACCUCACAGCAGCAUAACAGCGUCGUUAAUUGCUGUGGUUUUAUUAUUAGGAAUUUUUGUCCUAUGCGGUGGGAGAGUUGGGCAAAAAUUCCCGAUGAGACGAGGACCCUGGUGCGAGAUAAUUUGGAGGUCGUUUUUGAAAUGGAGGACAUAUCCCCUGAGGUCAGUGCCUACUUAGAGGAGACCUUUGCAAGCCGGUACAAAGAUUGGAAGAGCACUCUUCACAAGCAUUUUUAGCUAUGGGAAUCUCCGGAGAUUGCUCGCCUACAGGGUUGCCCACUCGAGUAUAAGGAGCGGCGAGAGGAUUGGGAGUGGCUCUGCACACAUUUUACGGAUCCAAAAUUUGUGAAUAAAUCUGUUGUUGGCAAGAAAGCUCGGGACUCAAAGACACUUCUCCACCAUUCCAGUUCGAAGCCCUUUUCGUAUAGGGUUGAGGCACGACGUGAGAAGGGUUCUAAGUUCCCACAGAUUGACCUGUUCAAGCAUGUUUACGUUCAUCCCAACAAUGAGAAUAGUGACCAGCUUUAUUGGAAAAGAGCACUGCUAUUCUCCAAGAAGCAACAUCGCAGCUUCCCCCAAAGACCCCGAUCGAGGACGUCAUUGUACCCAAGGAUGCAAAUGUUCAGAUCGUGACUGAGGUCCUGGAUCAGAAGUUCGGUCGUCAUCAUGGUAAGGUUGUUAGGUGUACGGGGAAGGCGGGGGUUCGUGAAACGGGUGCCUCUUCUUCCAGAUUGUCCACAGGAAAGGUCAAUUCCUUGAAGGAGGAAGUGACAACCCUAAGAGGUCAGGUUACGGCCCAGGGCGACCACAUUAGGGCCCAGGACGAGAGGAUGAAUAUGAUUGUUCAGGCCUUAGCGAUGUCUGGCCUCCAAAUCCCGACGAUGCCAACACCUAAUGUUGCUCCACCUUCGACUUCCCAGCCACUUUACCCAGAUGAUACCGAGUAGCAUGAUGUAUUAAACUUAGAAGACUUGUAGUUUUUUAAUUUCUUGUUCGGACAA
Non-coding RNA from Malus domestica (apple), 1720 nucleotides. The record is from RefSeq and is a predicted model, not a curated record. NCBI's taxonomy places the organism in Eukaryota, Viridiplantae, Streptophyta, Magnoliopsida, Rosales, Rosaceae.